RNAcentral lists this ribosomal RNA (858 nucleotides) under uncultured bacterium. RNAcentral describes it as "bacterial SSU rRNA". It matches the Rfam family "Bacterial small subunit ribosomal RNA", at positions 8 to 858 of the family's 1533-position model. The record is from RNAcentral.
AGAGUUUGAUCCUGGCUCAGGAUGAACGCUAGCUACAGGCUUAACACAUGCAAGUCGAGGGGCAGCGGGAUUGAAGCUUGCUUCAAUUGCCGGCGACCGGCGCACGGGUGAGUAACGCGUAUCCAACCUUCCGUACACUCAGGGAUAGCCUUUCGAAAGAAAGAUUAAUACCUGAUGGUAUGAUGAGAUUGCAUGAUAGCAUCAUUAAAGAUUUAUCGGUGUACGAUGGGGAUGCGUUCCAUUAGGUAGUAGGCGGGGUAACGGCCCACCUAGCCAACGAUGGAUAGGGGUUCUGAGAGGAAGGUCCCCCACAUUGGAACUGAGACACGGUCCAAACUCCUACGGGAGGCAGCAGUGAGGAAUAUUGGUCAAUGGACGAGAGUCUGAACCAGCCAAGUAGCGUGAAGGAUGAAGGUCCUACGGAUUGUAAACUUCUUUUAUAAGGGAAUAAACCCUCCCACGUGUGGGAGCUUGUAUGUACCUUAUGAAUAAGCAUCGGCUAACUCCGUGCCAGCAGCCGCGGUAAUACGGAGGAUGCGAGCGUUAUCCGGAUUUAUUGGGUUUAAAGGGAGCGCAGACGGGUCGUUAAGUCAGCUGUGAAAGUUUGGGGCUCAACCUUAAAAUUGCAGUUGAUACUGGCGUCCUUGAGUGCGGUUGAGGUGUGCGGAAUUCGUGGUGUAGCGGUGAAAUGCUUAGAUAUCACGAAGAACUCCGAUUGCGAAGGCAGCACACUAAUCCGUAACUGACGUUCAUGCUCGAAAGCGUGGGUAUCAAACAGGAUUAGAUACCCUGGUAGUCCACACGGUAAACGAUGGAUACUCGCUGUUGGCGAUAUACUGUCAGCGGCUUAGCGAAAGC